RNAcentral lists this ribosomal RNA (393 nucleotides) under uncultured bacterium. RNAcentral describes it as "partial 16S ribosomal RNA". It matches the Rfam family "Bacterial small subunit ribosomal RNA", at positions 523 to 918 of the family's 1533-position model. The record is from RNAcentral.
AUACGGAGGAUGCAAGCGUUAUCCGGAUUUAUUGGGUUUAAAGGGUGCGUAGGCGGUUUGCUAAGCGGGAGGUGAAAUGCCGGCGCUCAACGUCGGAAGUGCCUCCCGAAAUGGUGGACUGGAAUGACUCUGCCGUGGGAGGAAUGUGUAGUGUAGCGGUGAAAUGCUUAGAGAUUACACAGAACACCGAUUGCGAAGGCAUCUCACGAAGAGUUGAUUGACGCUGAGGCACGAAAGCGUUGGGAUCAAACAGGAUUAGAUACCCUGGUAGUCCACGCAGUAAACGAUGAUGGCUAGCCGCUGGUUUAUUCGGAUCAGUGGCCAAGCGAAAGCGAUAAGCCAUCCACCUGGGGAGUACGACCGCAAGGUGGAAACUCAAAUGAAUUUACGGGG